AUGGCAGACCAAGCAUGGGUGGCAGAAAAGGCAAUGGGGUAUCUUCAAACUAAACCAAACAUUGGUGCCAGCGAGCUCCGAAAAAAGCUACAGGCCGAGUACAAAUGUACUAUUGGGUAUCAUAUUGUUGACAAGGGAAAAGAAAGGGCCAAGAAUAGUUUAUAUGGGACCUGGGGAAAAAGCUUUCAGUCAUUAUUCAAUUUCAAAGCUGAGAUUGAUAAAAGAUCUCCCAGUAGCAUUGUCGAGGUUGAUGUCAAGAGGGAAGGAGGUGAAGUGCAUUUCCGCAGAUUUUUUAUGGCACUUAAGCCGUGCAUUGAUGGCUUCUUGGCUGGUUGUAGACCAUAUGUCAGUAUAGACUCCACAUUUUUGACUGGAAAGUGGAAUGGUCAAUUAGCAGCAUGUACAACACUAGAUGGACAAAAUUGGAUGUUUCCUUCAGCAUUUGGUUUCUUUGGUACGGAAACCGAGGGUAACUGGAUUUGGUUUAUGCAAUAA
Molecule: ribosomal RNA, 495 nt
Filed under: Triticum aestivum (bread wheat)
Lineage: Eukaryota; Viridiplantae; Streptophyta; Magnoliopsida; Poales; Poaceae
Description: partial small subunit ribosomal RNA
Source: RNAcentral